GGUGAUCUCUGAUGGAGCCUGCCGCGUGAGUGAAGAAGGGUUUCGGCUCGUAAAACUCUGUUGUUAAAGAAGAACACCUUUGAGAGUAACUGUUCAAGGGUUGACGGUAUUUGACCAGAAAGCCACGGCUAACUACGUGCCAGCAGCCGCGG
Molecule: ribosomal RNA, 152 nt
Filed under: uncultured Pantoea sp.
Lineage: Bacteria; Pseudomonadati; Pseudomonadota; Gammaproteobacteria; Enterobacterales; Erwiniaceae
Description: partial 16S ribosomal RNA
Rfam family: Bacterial small subunit ribosomal RNA
Source: RNAcentral